RNAcentral lists this ribosomal RNA (293 nucleotides) under uncultured bacterium. RNAcentral's name for it is "partial 16S ribosomal RNA". It matches the Rfam family "Bacterial small subunit ribosomal RNA", at positions 27 to 297 of the family's 1533-position model. The record is from RNAcentral.
GAUGAAACGCUGGCGGCGUGCUUAACACAUGCAAGUCGAGCGAAGCGCUUUGGUUAGAUUCUUCGGAUGAAGACCUUUGUGACUGAGCGGCGGACGGGUGAGUAACGCGUGGGUAACCUGCCUCAUACAGGGGAUAACAGUUAGAAAUGACUGCUAAUACCGCAUAAGACCACAGUACCGCAUGGUACAGGGGUAAAAACUCCGGUGGUAUGAGAAUGGAACCCCGCGGUCUGAUUAAGCUGGUUGGUGGGGUAACGGCCGUACCAAGGCGACGAUCAGUAGCCGGCCUGAGA